UGAAUAUACUAAGGCGCUUGAGUGAUUCACGGUUAAGGAACUAGGCAAAUUGACCCUGUAACUUCGGGAUAAAGGGUCCCAACGAGAGUUGGGCGCAGAGAAUAGGUCCAGGCAACUGUUUAACAAAAACACAGGGCUGUGCCAAAUUGAAAGAUUACGUAUACAGCCUGACACCUGCCCGGUGCUGGAAGGUUAAGAGGAGAUGUCAUCGCAAGAGAAGCAUUGAAUUGAAGCCCCAGUAAACGGCGGCCGUAACAAUAACGGUCCUAAGGUAGCGAAAUUCCUUGUCGGGUAAGUUCCGACCUGCACGAAUGGCGUAAUGAUGGCCAGGCUGUCUCCACCCGAGACUCAGUGAAAUUGAACUCGCUGUGAAGAUGCAGUGUACCCGCGGCAAGACGGAAAGACCCCGUGAACCUUUACUAUAGCUUGACACUGAACAUUGAGCCUUGAUGUGUAGGAUAGGUGGGAGGCUUUGAAGUGUGGACGCCAGUCUGCAUGGAGCCGACCUUGAAAUACCACCCUUUAAUGUUUGAUGUUCUAACGUUGACCCGUAAUCCGGGUUGCGGACAGUGUCUGGUGGGUAGUUUGACUGGGGCGGUCUCCUCCUAAAGAGUAACGGAGGAGCACGAAGGUUGGCUAAUCCUGGUCGGACAUCAGGAGGUUAGUGCAAUGGCAUAAGCCAGCUUGACUGCGAGCGUGACGGCGCGAGCAGGUGCGAAAGCAGGUCAUAGUGAUCCGGUGGUUCUGAAUGGAAGGGCCAUCGCUCAACGGAUAAAAGGUACUCCGGGGAUAACAGGCUGAUACCGCCCAAGAGUUCAUAUCGACGGCGGUGUUUGGCACCUCGAUGUCGGCUCAUCACAUCCUGGGGCUGAAGUAGGUCCCAAGGGUAUGGCUGUUCGCCAUUUAAAGUGGUACGCGAGCUGGGUUUAGAACGUCGUGAGACAGUUCGGUCCCUAUCUGCCGUGGGCGCUGGAGAACUGAGGGGGGCUGCUCCUAGUACGAGAGGACCGGAGUGGACGCAUCACUGGUGUUCGGGUUGUCAUGCCAAUGGCACUGCCCGGUAGCUAAAUGCGGAAGAGAUAAGUGCUGAAAGCAUCUAAGCACGAAACUUGCCCCGAGAUGAGUUCUCCCUGACUCCUUGAGAGUCCUGAAGGAACGUUGAAGACGACGACGUUGAUAGGCCGGGUGUGUAAGCGCAGCGAUGCGUUGAGCUAACCGGUACUAAUGAACCGUGAGGCUUAACGCA
RNAcentral lists this ribosomal RNA (1246 nucleotides) under gut metagenome. Its description in RNAcentral is "bacterial LSU rRNA". It matches the Rfam family "Bacterial large subunit ribosomal RNA", at positions 1673 to 2925 of the family's 2925-position model. The record is from RNAcentral.